RNAcentral lists this ribosomal RNA (482 nucleotides) under uncultured bacterium. RNAcentral's name for it is "partial 16S ribosomal RNA". It matches the Rfam family "Bacterial small subunit ribosomal RNA", at positions 28 to 523 of the family's 1533-position model. The record is from RNAcentral.
GAUGAACGCUGGCGGCGUGCUUAACACAUGCAAGUCGAACGAUGAAGCCCAGCUUGCUGGGUGGAUUAGUGGCGAACGGGUGAGUAACACGUGAGUAACCUGCCCUUAACUCUGGGAUAAGCCUGGGAAACUGGGUCUAAUACCGGAUAGGAGCGUCCACCGCAUGGUGGGGGUUGGAAAGAUUUAUCGGUUUUGAAUGGACUCGCGGCCUAUCAGCUUGUUGGUGAGGUAAUGGCUCACCAAGGCGACGACGGGUAGCCGGCCUGAGAGGGUGACCGGCCACACUGGGGCUGAGACACGGCCCAGACUCCUACGGGAGGCAGCAGUGGGGAAUAUUGCACAAUGGGCGAAAGCCUGAUGCAGCGACGCCGCGUGAGGGAUGACGGCCUUCGGGUUGUAAACCUCUUUCAGUAGGGAAGAAGCGAAAGUGACGGUACCUGCAGAAGAAGCACCGGCUAACUACGUGCCAGCCGCCGCAGUAA